Molecule: ribosomal RNA, 804 nt
Filed under: Cellulomonas sp. VC-CS202
Lineage: Bacteria; Bacillati; Actinomycetota; Actinomycetes; Micrococcales; Cellulomonadaceae
Description: bacterial SSU rRNA
Rfam family: Bacterial small subunit ribosomal RNA
Source: RNAcentral
UGCAAGUCGAACGGUGAUGGCCAGCUUGCUGGUCUGAUCAGUGGCGAACGGGUGAGUAACACGUGAGCAACCUACCCUUCACUCUGGGAUAAGCCCUGGAAACGGGGUCUAAUACCGGAUAUGAGACGUACAGGCAUCUGUAGCGUCUGGAAAGAUUUAUCGGUGGGGGAUGGGCUCGCGGCCUAUCAGCUUGUUGGUGGGGUAGUGGCCUACCAAGGCGACGACGGGUAGCCGGCCUGAGAGGGCGACCGGCCACACUGGGACUGAGACACGGCCCANACUCCUACGGGAGGCAGCAGUGGGGAAUAUUGCACAAUGGGCGCAAGCCUGAUGCAGCGACGCCGCGUGAGGGAUGACGGCCUUCGGGUUGUAAACCUCUUUCAGCAGGGAAGAAGCGCAAGUGACGGUACCUGCAGAANAAGCGCCGGCUAACUACGUGCCAGCAGCCGCGGUAAUACGUAGGGCGCAAGCGUUGUCCGGAAUUAUUGGGCGUAAAGAGCUCGUAGGCGGUUUGUCGCGUCUGCUGUGAAAACCUAAGGCUCAACCUUGGGCUUGCAGUGGGUACGGGCAGACUAGAGUGCGGUAGGGGUGACUGGAAUUCCUGGUGUAGCGGUGGAAUGCGCANAUAUCAGGAGGAACACCGAUGGCGAAGGCAGGUCACUGGGCCGCAACUGACGCUGAGGAGCGAAAGCAUGGGGAGCGAACAGGAUUAGAUACCCUGGUAGUCCAUGCCGUAAACGUUGGGCACUAGGUGUGGGGCUCAUUCCACGAGUUCCGUGCCGCAGCAAACGCAUUAAGUGCCCC